GUCGAACGAGAACGGGUAUUAGUUUACUAAUACUGUCAGCUAAGUGGCGCACCGGGUGAGUAAUAUAUAGUUAAUCUGCCCCAAAGAAGAGAAUAAUUGUUGGAAACGACUUGUAAUGCUCUAUAUGCCUUUAUCACAUAAGUGAGCAAGGGAAAUAUUUAUAGCUUUGGGAUGAGACUGUACGGUAUCAGAUAGUUGGUGAGGUAAUGGCUCACCAAGUCUAUGACGCCUAACUGGUUUGAGAGGAUGAUCAGUCACACUGGAACUGAGACACGGUCCAGACUCCUACGGGAGGCAGCAGUGGGGAAUAUUGCACAAUGGAGGAAACUCUGAUGCAGCAACGCCGCGUGGAGGAUGACACAUUUCGGUGCGUAAACUCCUUUUAUUAGGGAAGAUAAUGACNGUACCUAAUGAAUAAGCACCGGCUAACUCCGUGCCAGCAGCCGCGGUAAUACGGGGGGUGCAAGCGUUACUCGGAAUCACUGGGCGUAAAGAGCAUGUAGGCUGGUUUGUAAGUUGGAAGUGAAAUCCUAUGGCUUAACCAUAGAACUGCUUCCAAAACUGCAGACCUAGAGUAUGGGAGAGGUAGAUGGAAUUUCUGGUGUAGGGGUAAAAUCCGUAGAGAUCAGAAGGAAUACCGAUUGCGAAGGCGAUCUACUGGAACAUUACUGACGCUGAGAUGCGAAAGCGUGGGGAGCAAACAGGAUUAGAUACCCUGGUAGUCCACGCCCUAAACGAUGCACACUAGUUGUUGCUAUGCUAGACAUAGCAGUAAUGCAGUUACCACAGUAAGUGUGCCGCCUGGGGAGUACGGUCGCAAGAUUAAAACUCAAAGGAAUAGACGGGGACCCGCACAAGCGGUGGAGCAUGUGGUUUAAUUCGACGAUACGCGAAGAACCUUACCUGGCCUUGACAUAGAGAGAACUUACUAGAGAUAGUUUGGUGCUAGUUUACUAGAACUCUUAUACAGGUGCUGCACGGCUGUCGUCAGCUCG
RNAcentral lists this ribosomal RNA (995 nucleotides) under uncultured Arcobacter sp. RNAcentral's name for it is "bacterial SSU rRNA". It matches the Rfam family "Bacterial small subunit ribosomal RNA", at positions 61 to 1062 of the family's 1533-position model. Lineage: Bacteria; Pseudomonadati; Campylobacterota; Epsilonproteobacteria; Campylobacterales; Arcobacteraceae. The record is from RNAcentral.